RNAcentral lists this ribosomal RNA (428 nucleotides) under uncultured bacterium. Its description in RNAcentral is "bacterial SSU rRNA". It matches the Rfam family "Bacterial small subunit ribosomal RNA", at positions 29 to 459 of the family's 1533-position model. The record is from RNAcentral.
AUUGAACGCUGGCGGCAUGCCUAACACAUGCAAGUCGAACGCGAAAGUCCUUCGGGGCGAGUAGAGUGGCGGACGGGUGAGUAAUACGUGGGAAUCUACCUGGUAGUGGGGGACAACCCGGGGAAACUCGGGCUAAUACCGCAUACGUCCUACGGGAGAAAGGGGGCCUCUGCUUGCAAGCUCUCGCUACCAGAUGAGCCCACGUCCGAUUAGCUAGUUGGUGGGGUAAAGGCCCACCAAGGCGACGAUCGGUAGCUGGUCUGAGAGGAUGACCAGCCACACUGGGACUGAGACACGGCCCAGACUCCUACGGGAGGCAGCAGUGGGGAAUAUUGGACAAUGGGCGAAAGCCUGAUCCAGCAAUGCCGCGUGUGUGAAGAAGGCCUGCGGGUUGUAAAGCACUUUCAGUGGGGAAGAAAAGCCUGGGG